Molecule: ribosomal RNA, 253 nt
Filed under: uncultured bacterium
Lineage: Bacteria
Description: partial 16S ribosomal RNA
Rfam family: Bacterial small subunit ribosomal RNA
Source: RNAcentral
UACGUAGGGGGCUAGCGUUGUCCGGAAUCAUUGGGCGUAAAGAGCGCGUAGGCGGCCCGGUAAGUCCGCUGUAAAAGUCACAGGCUCAACCUGUGAAUGUCAGUGGAUACUGCCGGGCUAGAGUCCGGAAGAGGCGAGUGGAAUUCCUGGUGUAGCGGUGGAAUGCGCAGAUAUCAGGAGGAACACCAACGGCGAAGGCAGCUCGCUGGGACGGUACUGACGCUGAGACGCGAAAGCGUGGGGAGCAAACAGG